Non-coding RNA from Phrynosoma platyrhinos (Desert horned lizard), 71 nucleotides. The record is from the annotation of a GenBank genome assembly. Lineage: Eukaryota; Metazoa; Chordata; Lepidosauria; Squamata; Phrynosomatidae.
GUCAGUGGGGUGUAGUGGUUUGAAUGUUGGACUGCGACUCUGGUGACCAGGGUUAGAUUCCCAGCUUGACC